AGCAGCAGCCGCGGGAAUACGGAGGGUGCAAGCGUUAUCCGGAUUUAUUGGGUUUAAAGGGUCCGUAGGCGGAUCUGUAAGUCAGUGGUGAAAUCUCACAGCUUAACUGUGAAACUGCCAUUGAUACUGCAGGUCUUGAGUAAAUUUGAAGUGGCUGGAAUAAGUAGUGUAGCGGUGAAAUGCAUAGAUAUUACUUAGAACACCAAUUGCGAAGGCAGGUCACUAAGAUUUAACUGACGCUGAUGGACGAAAGCGUGGGGAGCGAACAGGAUUAGAUACCCCAGUAGCCCCUGUCUCUUAUAC
Molecule: ribosomal RNA, 303 nt
Filed under: uncultured bacterium
Lineage: Bacteria
Description: partial 16S ribosomal RNA
Rfam family: Bacterial small subunit ribosomal RNA
Source: RNAcentral